CCAGGAGUUGAGUUUUCUCCUGCCAAAAUACUGCCCUAUUUGGGAUCUCUAGAGGAUGUAUCCAAACAAAUCUGACUGCUAACAGGAGCCCUUCUGGAGUGCUUCUCUCAAGCCCGCCAAAAGAAGCAUAGGAUUAGAAGCUUCUCCAGUGCUAGAGGGCACUGUGUGUCCUGGGCCACGUCUGGGGUUCCAAGGCAUUCUGAUGAUGGCUCAGCCAGCCUGCAACCAGCCACAUCUCACCAGCCCCUGGCAAUCUCAUCCACAGGUGUAAAGCUGGCAGUCAACUGUACUUGUCUUCUGCUUGCUGUCUGCUGCUUCCUGUAAAGCUUGAUACACACUGAGGUAAGACUUAAAACCACAGGGUCUGUGGUUUACAUUGUGUUGACUUUUCCCAUCAGAAAAAUCUGUACUGUUAGAUAGCUUAUUGGCUUCUAAUUACAAAAUACAUCAUUUCAGUAGUUAAUUAUGCUUCCACAUUUCUUUUCCCUUGUAGGUACGUCUCCUUUUUCUAAGCCUUAUCAAUUCAAUUUCUCAUUUAUGUGGAUUUAACUCUGUUUAAAGGGAAGGAUGCCGAGUGCUUUAAAUAAUACAUUCUUAAAGAGAAGAUGAACUGGAGUGGUGUGGUAUACUGGCAAGCUGAUUCACUGCCUUAGCGAUUCUCAGCACCAGCAUGGUCAGAGACAUGGACAGCAGAGGGGGAAGCGGAGCAGAAGAUGACUACUACAAAGUAAUUUGGCCUGUGGAAAGUGAAAUGGCAGCAACUGUUUUCUGAUUGACUGUUGUGUGAAAAAGAGGUCAAGUCAGGAGACCGUGCUGCACAGGGCCUUUGCUGUCCAGCUCACACCCAUGAGCUCCCAGAGCUCUGAUCCUGA
Molecule: long non-coding RNA, 872 nt
Organism: Oxyura jamaicensis (ruddy duck)
Lineage: Eukaryota; Metazoa; Chordata; Aves; Anseriformes; Anatidae
Exons: 4
Source: RefSeq, a predicted model, not a curated record